UACGUAGGGUGCAAGCGUUAAUCGGAAUUACUGGGCGUAAAGCGUACGCAGGCGGCUUUGCAAGACAGGUGUGAAAUCCCCGGGCCUAACCUGGGAACUGCAUUUGUGACUGCAUCGCUAGAGUCUGUCAGAGGGGGGUGGAAUUCCACGUGCAGCAGUGAAAUGCGUAGAGAUGUGGAAGAACACCGAUGGCGAAGGCAGCCCCCUGGGAUGAGACUGACGCUCAUGUACGAAAGCGUGGGGAGCAAACAGG
This 253-nucleotide ribosomal RNA is filed under the name uncultured bacterium. Its description in RNAcentral is "partial 16S ribosomal RNA". It matches the Rfam family "Bacterial small subunit ribosomal RNA", at positions 524 to 776 of the family's 1533-position model. The record is from RNAcentral.